CCCUUAGAUGUUCUGGGCGGCCCGCGCACUACAAUGGCGCUUUCAGCGAGUUCCUAUGUUGAAUUUUCCUGGGUAUUCUUGGAAGCGGCGUCUUGAUUUGGGAUAGAUCCUUGUAAUUGUUGGUUUUGAACGAGGAAUUCCUUGUAAUCGCGGUUGAUCAGCUCGCGUUGAAUACGUCCCUGCCCUUUGUACACACCGCCCGUCGCUCCUACCGAUGAAUCGUCCGGUGAAGUUCACAGAGUGGCGGUUCGUGGAGUUGCUCGCGAAGUGAAAUGGACCUCACGAUUUAGAGGAAGGAGAAGUCGUAACA
RNAcentral lists this ribosomal RNA (310 nucleotides) under uncultured eukaryote. RNAcentral's name for it is "partial 18S ribosomal RNA". It matches the Rfam family "Eukaryotic small subunit ribosomal RNA", at positions 1470 to 1796 of the family's 1831-position model. The record is from RNAcentral.